UCUUGUCUUUUUCCCUUUUCGGGCAGGUAUUCUGCUGCUACUCAAGGAACAAUAUAUGUGUGGAGGUGGCUAGUUCAAAUCCACCUCUGCAGGCCUUGGGAUUAGCGCCAUGCUACUUGCUUGAUUAAUUGAAUUGAACCACCUGAAUUUUCACCAGGUCUGCUGUGGAAUCUUACAAUCAUUUAUACCUGCCCAAACAACUUGUUCAUCUAUGUCCUUUAUGUAAUAAGUUAAACAUUCAUACAAGGCAUCGCAUCAUGAAAACACAAUCAAACCUUCUUCACUCUUAA
This 290-nucleotide long non-coding RNA is filed under the name Monodelphis domestica (gray short-tailed opossum). RNAcentral's name for it is "lncRNA (ENSMODG00000042089.1)". Lineage: Eukaryota; Metazoa; Chordata; Mammalia; Didelphimorphia; Didelphidae. The record is from RNAcentral.